This 484-nucleotide ribosomal RNA is filed under the name uncultured bacterium. RNAcentral's name for it is "partial 16S ribosomal RNA". It matches the Rfam family "Bacterial small subunit ribosomal RNA", at positions 30 to 507 of the family's 1533-position model. The record is from RNAcentral.
AUUGAACGCUGGCGGAAUGCUUUACACAUGCAAGUCGAACGGCAGCACGGGGGCAACCCUGGUGGCGAGUGGCGAACGGGUGAGUAAUACAUCGGAACGUGCCCGGUCGUGGGGGAUAACGUAGCGAAAGUUGCGCUAAUACCGCAUACGAUCUGAGGAUGAAAGCGGGGGACCUUCGGGCCUCGCGCGAUCGGAGCGGCCGAUGUCAGAUUAGGUAGUUGGUGGGGUAAAGGCCUACCAAGCCGACGAUCUGUAGCUGGUCUGAGAGGACGACCAGCCACACUGGGACUGAGACACGGCCCAGACUCCUACGGGAGGCAGCAGUGGGGAAUUUUGGACAAUGGGCGCAAGCCUGAUCCAGCCAUUCCGCGUGCAGGACGAAGGCCUUCGGGUUGUAAACUGCUUUUGUAUGGAACGAAAAGGCUCUGGCUAAUACCUGGGGCUCAUGACGGUACCGUAAGAAUAAGCACCGGCUAACUACGUG